Molecule: ribosomal RNA, 430 nt
Filed under: bacterium
Lineage: Bacteria
Description: partial 16S ribosomal RNA
Rfam family: Bacterial small subunit ribosomal RNA
Source: RNAcentral
UGGGGAAUAUUGGACAAUGGGCGCAAGCCUGAUCCAGCCAUGCCGCGUGUGUGAAGAAGGCCUUUUGGUUGUAAAGCACUUUAAGCGAGGAGGAGGCUACUUGGAUUAAUACUCUAAGAUAGUGGACGUUACUCGCAGAAUAAGCACCGGCUAACUCUGUGCCAGCAGCCGCGGUAAUACAGAGGGUGCGAGCGUUAAUCGGAUUUACUGGGCGUAAAGCGUGCGUAGGCGGCUUCUUAAGUUGGAUGUGAAAUCCCUGAGCUUAACUUAGGAAUUGCAUUCGAUACUGGGAAGCUAGAGUAUGGGAGAGGAUGGUAGAAUUCCAGGUGUAGCGGUGAAAUGCGUAGAGAUCUGGAGGAAUACCGAUGGCGAAGGCAGCCAUCUGGCCUAAUACUGACGCUGAGGUACGAAAGCAUGGGGAGCAAACAGG